This 265-nucleotide long non-coding RNA is filed under the name Nicotiana benthamiana. Its description in RNAcentral is "long non-coding RNA (NBEN_LNC005142)". The record is from RNAcentral. Lineage: Eukaryota; Viridiplantae; Streptophyta; Magnoliopsida; Solanales; Solanaceae.
AAAGACGAACUGGAGUAGGCAUGAAAUCAGAAUUCAUCAAGUUCAUUAAGCUGCUCCACAUGAAUAUUUGUUGCCACAUCCGGUUCAAGAUUCAACUUCCUCAAAUCCCAAAUGGCCUUGUUCUCUAACUCAACCGGUAGAUGGCAAGCGUUCCCAAAUAUCAACCGGUACAGAGACAUACCAAUCAGAGUUUUGUAAGCAGUCUUAUAAUCCCAUAGAGUAUCAUCCAAUUUUGUUUACCAGUAGUUCCUAUUUGCAUUGACCG